CUCUUUAGGGAACUGAAGGAUGUUACAGCCUGUACUACAAUUGCUGGUAUUCUUUGUGGUACUUUUGGGUCUGCAUUUUCAUAGUGAUAGCUGUUGUAAUUGGUAUCUGUGGUGGAGUAGCACGUAAGCGCCAUUUGGCAAGACAGAGAAUUACAGUAACAACUACCCCAGUGGCCCCACAAAGCAACGUCGUGAUGAGCGUUACCAACACUCACAAUGUACACAGUCAGAUGGUACAGCCGCCUCCCUACCAGCCC
Molecule: long non-coding RNA, 257 nt
Organism: Lingula anatina
Lineage: Eukaryota; Metazoa; Brachiopoda; Lingulata; Lingulida; Lingulidae
Source: RefSeq, a predicted model, not a curated record